RNAcentral lists this ribosomal RNA (427 nucleotides) under uncultured beta proteobacterium. Its description in RNAcentral is "bacterial SSU rRNA". It matches the Rfam family "Bacterial small subunit ribosomal RNA", at positions 355 to 774 of the family's 1533-position model. Lineage: Bacteria; Pseudomonadati; Pseudomonadota; Betaproteobacteria. The record is from RNAcentral.
UGGGGAAUAUUGGACAAUGGGGGCAAGCCUGAUCCAGCCAUGCCGCGUGAGUGAAGAAGGCCUUCGGGUUGUAAAGCUCUUUUAGUCGGAAAGAAAGAGUUGCAAUGAAUAAUUGUGAUUUAUGACGGUACCGACAGAAAAAGCACCGGCUAACUACGUGCCAGCAGCCGCGGUAAUACGUAGGGUGCGAGCGUUAAUCGGAAUUACUGGGCGUAAAGGGUGCGCAGGCGGUCUUGCAAGUCAGAUGUGAAAGCCCCGGGCUUAACCUGGGAAUUGCGUUUGAAACUACAAGGCUAGAGUGCAGCAGAGGGGAGUGGAAUUCCAUGUGUAGCAGUGAAAUGCGUAGAGAUGUGGAAGAACACCGAUGGCGAAGGCAGCUCCCUGGGUUGACACUGACGCUCAUGCACGAAAGCGUGGGGAGCAAACA